CGACCUGGAGAGAAAGAUAUGAUCAGCAUUACACCAGCGAACACACGGGAGACAGACGACAAAAUCUGGUCAGAUUAAACGGCACUCGGCAUGGAUUAAAGGGACACACGAUCAAUAUCAAACAGCAGGUUUUAAGGAUCCCAAACUAAACGAAGUAAACGGACUACGUAGCGAAUAGGAAAACUUCAGAGCAGUCUUCCUGGGGCUGAUUAUUAAUCCAGGGAAAGAAAAAAAAGUUUAGAGGAGCUCUUCGCCCAGCCCACCGGCGCGGAGGCGGAUCAAAUGAAGGAGAAGUUCGCUAAUAUGAGAAUAAACGAUAAAGGGAAUAAAAGGAAUCGUGUGUAGAAGCCCGCAUGGAAAAUGCGCUUUUCCGUACUGCCGCCGUGUGUGGAGAUGCGUAAUUACCCCCAGGAGCCGAAGUGCGGGCGGCAUUUCCUCCUCUGUUCCAAGUUAACACAGCAACAAGCAUCUUAAAAGCAAACCUGUCUCUAUGGAGGUUAGUUAUAACGCCUGUUACAGAUAUAUCGAAUUAAAUUUAAAAAGAAUAUAGCAAUUAUAGCGAAUCAGAAUAAAAGGUUUGUCUGAAGUAAGCUUCUUUAUUCUCACCUAUUUAUAUGACUACAAAGGCAAUAAAAGAUGCUUUAAAACAAGACGCUAUUACUCUAUAUCCAAUGACGUGUACCCAGCGUAAUUAGGCUAAAUAAAUAAAAUAACUAGAAUAACUUCACAUUCGUUGCUGGAAUAAACAUUCGUGCAAAGUAUACUCUGGUCCUUUUUGUUACAAUGGCAUACCCCUCUGUUAUGGUCCCUUACGCUCAUUAUAACUGUAACAUGAACUGUUUGUUGUGGUUGUUGUUGUAAAAUUGUAAAUAAACCAUUUAUGACCUAA
Molecule: long non-coding RNA, 889 nt
Organism: Electrophorus electricus (electric eel)
Lineage: Eukaryota; Metazoa; Chordata; Actinopteri; Gymnotiformes; Gymnotidae
Source: RefSeq, a predicted model, not a curated record